AGUAACGCGUGGAUAACCUGCCUCACACUGGGGGAUAACAGUUAGAAAUGACUGCUAAUACCGCAUAAGCGCACAGUACCGCAUGGUACAGUGUGAAAAACUCCGGUGGUGUGAGAUGGAUCCGCGUCUGAUUAGCCAGUUGGCGGGGUAACGGCCCACCAAAGCGAUGAUCAGUAGCCGACCUGAGAGGGUGACCGGCCACAUUGGGACUGAGACACGGCCCAA
Molecule: ribosomal RNA, 225 nt
Filed under: uncultured bacterium
Lineage: Bacteria
Description: partial 16S ribosomal RNA
Rfam family: Bacterial small subunit ribosomal RNA
Source: RNAcentral